Molecule: ribosomal RNA, 277 nt
Filed under: uncultured prokaryote
Description: partial 16S ribosomal RNA
Rfam family: Bacterial small subunit ribosomal RNA
Source: RNAcentral
UACGUAGGGGCGUAGCGUUAUCCGGAAUUACUGGGCGUAAAGGGUGCGUAGGUGGUUUCUUAAGUCAGAGGUGAAAGGCUACGGCUCAACCGUAGUAAGCCUUUGAAACUGGGAAACUUGAGUGCAGGAGAGGAGAGUGGAAUUCCUAGUGUAGCGGUGAAAUGCGUAGAUAUUAGGAGGAACACCAGUUGCGAAGGCGGCUCUCUGGACUGUAACUGACACUGAGGCACGAAAGCGUGGGGAGCAAACAGGAUUAGAUACCCUGGUCCUGAGCGGG